RNAcentral lists this ribosomal RNA (544 nucleotides) under uncultured bacterium. RNAcentral describes it as "partial 16S ribosomal RNA". It matches the Rfam family "Bacterial small subunit ribosomal RNA", at positions 355 to 887 of the family's 1533-position model. The record is from RNAcentral.
UGGGGAAUAUUGCACAAUGGGCGCAAGCCUGAUGCAGCCAUGCCGCGUGUGUGAAGAAGGCCUUCGGGUUGUAAAGCACUUUCAGCGAGGAGGAAGGUGGUGAACUUAAUACGUUCAUCAAUUGACGUUACUCGCAGAAGAAGCACCGGCUAACUCCGUGCCAGCAGCCGCGGUAAUACGGAGGGUGCAAGCGUUAAUCGGAAUUACUGGGCGUAAAGCGCACGCAGGCGGUUUGUUAAGUCAGAUGUGAAAUCCCCGGGCUCAACCUGGGAACUGCAUUUGAAACUGGCAAGCUAGAGUCUCGUAGAGGGGGGUAGAAUUCCAGGUGUAGCGGUGAAAUGCGUAGAGAUCUGGAGGAAUACCGGUGGCGAAGGCGGCCCCCUGGACGAAGACUGACGCUCAGGUGCGAAAGCGUGGGGAGCAAACAGGAUUAGAUACCCCUGGUAGUCCACGCUGUAAAACGAUGUCGAUUUUGGAGGUUGUGCCCCUUGAGGCGUGGCUUCCGGAGCUAACGCGUUAAAUCGACCGCCUGGGGAGUACGGCC